Molecule: long non-coding RNA, 3853 nt
Filed under: Anas platyrhynchos platyrhynchos (common mallard)
Lineage: Eukaryota; Metazoa; Chordata; Aves; Anseriformes; Anatidae
Description: lncRNA (ENSAPLG00000018772.1)
Source: RNAcentral
AUGGUAGGAAAUUCAUAUCCUGAAUCAUUGAUACCUUUAUUUUAUAACUUGCUGCCAUUGAUUUUUUUUCUCUUUUAUUUUCUCCGAUUCAGUGCUGCCUGCUGUGAAAGACGGGAUGGCUGCAUGUGCGAGGGCCUGACAUCAUCUAUCAGGGUGGUGCCUGCAUGGAAGCCAAACAAAACUCUCUGGAGCUUUCCGAAGACUCGGGUUGCCUGUGGAGAGAUGACUGUGAUGGCUGCCAAACUGAUUCGAGGCUUGUUGAUGCAGAGGAGGUGACUGCUGGUGCCCGUGUCUGGUGUAGACUACUCCGCUCCUUGGUGAACAGCCCUAAAGCCAUAGAUUUCAUUUGAUCUUUGCAAAGGCUAACAUCUGUCUGCUGUCAUUUUAGUAAGAUUGAUGACAGGCUGGGAUAGGGGAGGAGGAGGGGGAGAACAGUGGGAGGAAGGCAGGUCCCCGCAGCCCUGAUGGCUGUGGCCAAGCCUGCCCGGAGUCACUGGCCCAGACCCUCCGGUCAGCUGCAGCAGUGGCAGGGAACCGCUCCUGCGCUGCUCCAGCAGUAAUUGCACUGGGUUGGUACAGCAGAUUGUGGGAACUCGGAGACAUAAAGGCAGCAUUUUGCACCUUAUAUAUCUUAAUAGAUUAUUCACGUUGCAAGCAACACAGAGCGAAAUGUUAUGACAACCAUAAGAAUGUAGUUUACUGUGGCUUAAUGUGCCUGGGCAGUGCAGGGUAAAGCCAUCAAAAAGAUAUAUUUAAUUUUUUUUUAAGUUUCCGAGAGAAACUAACUGAUGUGGACAUGCAGCUAUUUCUCUAUAGAACCCUGACUUUUGGCAAACUCUUUCCAGGCUCUAAUAGAAAAUGCUUACUCUUUUUAUUAGUAGCAGUAUCGCAGUGCCAAAUGAAAAAUCAUAUGCUUCCCCACUUGGAAGCUUUCUUGCAAGCUGAUGUGUGAGCUGAUGUAACAGGAAUCUUCUACAAAGCACCCAUGUCCCAAACAGGGCAGCCAGUUGCUGGCUGUUGGAUGCAAUACUCCUCAGGAAAAAGAAGAAAAAAAAAAAAAAAACAACAAAAAAAAACUUUCAUACUUGGGCAGGAUGGAGUCCUUGUGUCUUUUUCCAUGAAUGAAUGAGUGAAUGAAUGACUAUCAAUGCCGAAAUUUGAUCUUGCUGCAAUCCUAGACAUUUGGGUUUCACCAGGCGUGUAUACAUAUACCAGAAGGAUCUCAGUGUUUUGGGAAAGAACUGCAGUGUGCUGUGGAGGAAAUACACGGGGAUAGGGUUAACUGCUGUUGUGGAUUGGGAAGCAAGAAAUGUAGCUGUGAAUCUUACUCAUGACAUUAGACUGGAAACCAUAGAGGCAAGGGCUAGAUGCAGCCUUCAUUUUAGAGCACAGAGGUUCCUCUGUGGGAGCCGGAGGGGAGAUGGGUGCAUAAGCUGGUAACUUUAACAACCUGGAAUUCAAAAUAUUCCUGACCUAAAACUCCAGGCUGAAACAUGUAUGGGCUUGGGGGAAAGCUCAGCUCCAGCCUUGGCUCAGGCCCCUCCUGUUGAGAUUUACAGUGCUGAGACUGAUGCCAUGCUGAUUUUAACCACUCGGCGUCCCAUCAUGAUGGCUGACAAAAUGACAUGACAUUAGUAUGGGAUUUCAGCUGCAGGCAGGGAAAAUGUAGUUUAGAGUAUGAAAACCAGCUGUGCUCUUAUUCAUUCGGGCUGCAGGUCAGGGAAGAACAGAGACUCCCACCCAAACCAGAGGGCUAGCUUGGGCCACGCAUGAACUGUGUGUUUGGGUGAGCACGGGUGGCUGGAUUGAUAAAGAGUGACCCAGAGAGAUAAAUACACAUACAGAGGAAAAUAAGAAGAGAUAAUGUAUUGGCGUAAGUUGCAGUAUAUUUCCUCCUAGUGAUGAAAGACUAAGAGUGAGUUAUAGAUCUUUCCUCAUGAUAAGAACAGAUAUUUCUUUCCAAAUCAUUUAUAUCUAUAAGAUACUGAGAUAUUAUUUAGGCCUGUGUGUGUUUUCAGCGAUAGAUAAUGGUGGAAGGUGCUACAGUGCUGGUGCAGAGACACUGAAGGGAACAGAGUCAGCAGUGGCCAAGUCCCUCCAGAUAUGAGUUCUGCCAAGCAUCAUAGGGCUGAACAAGACUUAAACGUGCUCCAAACAAGACCAAUGCACUCUUUUAGAGAGGGUGGAGGUGGAGGGUGGGAGAAGUGUGCUCGCCUUCCCACCCAGCUCGCCAGCUGGGGGCCUUCACUGCUUACCUGGUGGCAGAGAGGCUUGUGCAGGGAGCUUCCAUUAAUUCAUCCCUUGACAUCUCCAUCACAGGCGUUUAGCAGCUGGAAGUGUGGUAAAACAUACCGCUGGAGGUUUCAUCCAUAGCUCUUGCGGAUGAGGGAUUAAUUUUUAUUGUAAAGAGUUCAGAAGAAAGAGGGCAUAUUUAUUCUAGCGUCGCAGGUAAACAUGAUAUGGCUAUUUAUACAUAACCAGAGUUUAAAUCUUCAUUUGUUCAGGUCCUUAAUGUAUGAGCAGCAAUUGCUCUAAGUGUUACAAGAUCUGUUUACUGCUCUGGGAUAUUAUUAACUUUAAAAAAAGGAUGCCUGUGUGGAGAAAACAACCUUACCUGACAACUUUGAUGUAAGAAGAGCCUUCUCCCUUUGACUGCUCCAGCGACGCUGCGGCGUGAUGUGGGUGCGCUCAACCCUUUCAUCCCUUCAGUCAGUGCUAUAUAACAUUUACAUGUCUCAGAAAUAUGACAUAUGUACAGUACACGUGUGAGAGGGUGGGUAGACUAGUCUUUCAAAGAUUAUUCAAAAAAGCAGGAUGUUUUUGUCAACCGGGAGAGAUUAGAGUACUUUAUUUUACAGCUAGAGCAGAGAAAUAUUUUUCAUGUGAUUAGAAAAAAACGUUAUUAUUAAAAUACUUAUUUACUUAUUCAUUUAAAUUAAUGCAGACCUAUUCCUGACCGGAAGUGGUACUGAGGGGCCAGGCUGCGCCCCGUGAGGGGGCCGCCGGAACCCUCUGGAACCUUCUGGAAGCGGCCGGGGCCUCUCCUCACAGAGCCCCACGGCCGAUGCCUGGAGCCCUGCAGAGCCCAGGAGGACGGAUCCUGUCCCAGGGAGCACAAAGGAGCUGCUUUGUGAACGCCAGCAGGUAUCUCCCAAACGAAGGAGGCCUUAGGUGGGCGGAGAGGGUAACAAAUGCAGGGAGCUGUGAGAUGCUUGUGGGUCAAGGGGACUCAUGUUUCUGCUGAGCAGUCGGGUGUAUCUUCACCUUCUGUAACCUCAGCUGGAGCCUUUGCUGUCAUGCUUUCCCCCUGCUAAACCCUUGCUUUUGAACCUUAAGAGAAAUCUUUACGGUGGUCAGUAAAUCCUAAUGUUGUCCUUGUUCUGUUUUAUGAGAUUUCCAGUGACACGUGGCUUCGGAGAUUUGCCACUUGGUGGAUCUAACAGCUCUGAGGACAUAGUGGACUUGGGAUGGGGCAAUAUCAGCUCUCCCUGUUUUGUGUAAAUGAACUUCAGAUUCUCUAUGUUAACAUGCUAAUAAGGAAAUCUUGUGUUCCCACACUGUUCUUCUCACACUGCUGACCUGACCUCUUUAAUCCUAGCUUUCCUGAAGGAAAAGCUGAUCCAUCAGGCCUCCUGUAUCUAAAAUGGGAUGAAAGGAAAUGAUGGACCUAUUUCUAUGCUGGUGUUUCUCUGGUACCUCAAGCUGUCUUGUUCUUUUUGUAUUCAUCUCUCAUUUCCCUGGGAAGGAAAAAAAAGGAAGGAAAAAAAAAACUAGAUGUGAGGGCUCAAAUCACUGAAGAUGAGAAACAGCAAAAGGAAAUAAAGAGGUCACACACCUAAGUUAGCUUAUGAUU